Peromyscus eremicus (cactus mouse) is the source of this 1321-nucleotide long non-coding RNA. RefSeq lists it as uncharacterized. The record is from RefSeq and is a predicted model, not a curated record. The transcript has 3 exons. NCBI's taxonomy places the organism in Eukaryota, Metazoa, Chordata, Mammalia, Rodentia, Cricetidae.
UUUCAUGGCCUCAGUAACCAGAAGAACAGUCACCCUUGGGAAGCUGUUCCUGUGGACUAGAUGUCCAGAGAAACAUGAACUUAGAUCAUAGACAGAAUCUUGAGUGUACUCUAGGAGAGAGACUAAACAGACUAUGGUGGCCAGUGAGGGAGGCUAGGAGUUUUAAGCAGGGGGGAUUGGAAGGCAGGGCCUGCUGCCGUGGCCUGGAAUUGGCUGGUGCACUUCUUAGUAGAAGGGCUGCCCUGUUCUCAUUUCCCUGUCUUGUGUGCUCUCUAGUUGGAAGGAGUCAUUGCAUUUAGGAUGAAAGAAAAACUAAUCAGCCACAUCCCUCUGGGGACUCCGUGGCAAUAUCUUGUCCCUGGAGACCUGUAAGGAAUGGAUGGACCCCCUGUCAAGGGCAGCAGAACUUGGAUGAACAGGUUGACUCUUCCUCAGGUUCAUUUCUGCAUUUGACAACUUGCUGUUCUGCCCUGUGCUGGAUUUGGAGGAUAAAAGUUUGGGAGAGAACUCAGACACUCACCAUACUGACUCUCAUGCCUAUCAGGAGCCCCGAAGCCAGGAUGGUAAUUCCAAGUUGUCCAAAGUGGAGCCCCAGAACUCUGCAUCAGCCAGCCAUUGGGAUGAGAAGAAACCCAAGUAAGACGGUGGCCUUCACGGGAAGCAAAGACUUGAGUGGCCUCCUCUGUGAGCCCCAGCAGGCACCACCCAGCCUUGUGGUGAGACGGAACUGGGACCACUUCAUCAUGUCCUAAAAGCCCCUCUGAGAUUGUCUAAGCUCCUCCUUAGUGAAAUGUCCAGUCUCAGAGCACAGUUUCUAAAACGCUCGUCCUUCACAUUUACCCACAAAUUAAAGUAGAAAUAUGUUUUCAAAAUAUCGUUGAGUUUCAUGUGCUAAAUUCUCUAGAACAAACUCAUUUUAAGGAAGCAGAACUAUUCUCUAUGACUACAUUGGCAUGUGAUUUUUCCAGGAACGCUGUCUUUCUAUAUAUACCUCUCUCAGUUCCUCCAGAUGUCUGCCUUGACACUGGUUUGUUUUGGACACAUGCAGUUCCUUGUUUGGAGAGCUGUUCCCCUGGACUGUCCUUGCCAAGCCACACAUUUGAUUAUUCCUGUUCAUUCUUCAGAUCCACAAAGAGACCCUCACUGACUUCCCCUAAAUCAGCUCCCCUGGCAGCACUCUGGACUUCCCACUGCUGCUCAUCACUCUUUGCUGCUUCCUUUCCUCCUGGCCCGGGACUGAGAGCGGGUGUGCAGUCUCUGGUGAGACAUACGCACCCCUGCCCUGAAUGCUCACGGUCUGAUUCAGUCUUCUCCGUCCUCU